Molecule: ribosomal RNA, 258 nt
Filed under: uncultured bacterium
Lineage: Bacteria
Description: partial 16S ribosomal RNA
Rfam family: Bacterial small subunit ribosomal RNA
Source: RNAcentral
UACGUAGGGGGCGAGCGUUGUCCGGAAUCAUUGGGCGUAAAGAGCUCGUAGGCGGCUUGUCGCGUCGGAUGUGAAAGCCCGGGGCUUAACUCCGGGUCUGCAUUCGAUACGGGCAGGCUAGAGUUCGGUAGGGGAGAUCGGAAUUCCUGGUGUAGCGGUGGAAAUGCGGCAGAUAUCAGGAGGAACACCGGUGGCGAAGGCGGGUCUCUGGGGCAGUAACUGACGCUGGAGGAGCGAAAGCGUGGGGAGCGAACAGGA